Molecule: ribosomal RNA, 466 nt
Filed under: uncultured bacterium
Lineage: Bacteria
Description: partial 16S ribosomal RNA
Rfam family: Bacterial small subunit ribosomal RNA
Source: RNAcentral
GAUGAACGCUGGCGGCGUGCUUAACACAUGCAAGUCGAACGAUGAAGCCCAGCUUGCUGGGUGGAUUAGUGGCGAACGGGUGAGUAACACGUGAGUAACCUGCCCUUGACUCUGGGAUAAGCCUGGGAAACUGGGUCUAAUACUGGAUAUGACUUCUCAUCGCAUGGUGGGGGGUGGAAAGAUUUAUUGGUCUUGGAUGGACUCGCGGCCUAUCAGCUUGUUGGUGAGGUAAUGGCUCACCAAGGCGACGACGGGUAGCCGGCCUGAGAGGGUGACCGGCCACACUGGGACUGAGACACAGCCCAGACUCCUACGGGAGGCAGCAGUGGGGAAUAUUGCACAAUGGGCGCAAGCCUGAUGCAGCGACGCCGCGUGAGGGAUGACGGCCUUCGGGUUGUAAACCUCUUUCAGUAGGGAAGAAGCGAGAGUGACGGUACCUGCAGAAGAAGCGCCGGCUAACUACGUG